ACAUAGUUCUCUUAAUUUUAAAAGUCUGACAUUUUUUCUAAAUAUAUCUUUGCAUUUGUAGUUUCAAUUAUCAGACAUAUUUCAAAGCAUAUCGCCCAUACGUAAUCUGAGUUUUCACUUUAGCAAAUUGGUCAAGGUGCUCGAUUUGGUUGUGACGACAACUCCUGGCCGUUUGACAAUGUCUAAUGUCGAUCGACAUGCAAUUCACAUUACGGCUGGCCGUUUGGUGCCCGAGCGUAGCGCAAUAUUGCGAUAUAAAUUAAUGCUUAAUCAGCAGAAAUUGUCUAAAUCCGCAAAUUAUUCGCAAGUGGCAGGCGUUUAAUUGUAACUGCCCCAAGUGCAGCCCACAGCCAUACACACACACACACACACAUACAGAAAAGCCAACCGCAUUUUGGUGGCCAGCACAAAGCCAAUGUAAUGUCCAAGUUUGACCAUAACAAUAGUCCGCCCGUCAUAACAACCCAUGAAGCCAUAAAAAUCUUAAGAGCGCAGCGCCAGGGGCGUGCUAAUUGAAAUUCUUGUUGCACCUUUAUUGAUUGUGUUGACCUUCUGCGAAUUGGACACUUACCAUUAUCAGGUCGCCCGUUUCCAUGUGGCGACGCAUCAAAAUCGCUGCCAUAUUUUGCUCAUCUUGGAAAACCUCGCCAAUUUCAUGCUUGUCAUGCUGCAAGAGAACAAAGGAAGAGAGUUAGUUUAUCGAUAAAAUUGUAAUUGACAGCGAGUUAAACGACGCGGGAUAUUAGCUUAAUUUGAUUUGCUAACCACCGACAUUCAAUUAACAACGAAAUCAAUUUUUACGGUCGCAUUCCGAACAUUCCAAAUAUCAACGGCAAGCUCAAGAGUAGCCAAGCCGCGGCUUUGGCCGAACUAAAUGUAAAGCAAUUUUUUAUAAAACAUAAAAAAAUGCUGGUCUGUUAUUCUGUUUGCUGGCCAGGCAGCUGUAUAAUAAUUAAAUGCGCCAGCAGCAAAAGAAGGAGACAACCGGCAGCCGAUAGAGACAGAGUCAGAGACAUGGACAGAGAUUAAGAGCCACUCUUGGAGAGGGAGAGAUGAAGCCAGAGCUCGGCGUGCUCGGAGUGCUGUUAACUGCGUGGGAUAUGCGGCAGCGGGGUUUUGAUUUAUGCACUCGGUCAGCAAAUGUGACGCCUCAACAUGCACGUCACUCAUGCGCCGUGUGUGCCGUGCUGUUCUCUGAGCCUGACCAUGAAAACUGCGCCGCCGUGGCUUCAGCUAAAGCUUAAGCUUUUGACAUUUGGCCAACUGGCUGCUGAUCUGGUUUCAGUUGCGCUCUGUUCUUGUUGCAAUCCUUUGACAUCGACAUUCGGAUAGUUUUUUGCAACUUUUCGACUCAAGGCAACUUGGCUUAGAUGCUGGUUGCCAAAUUUCUGUGCAAGGCCCAGGGGGAAUGUGUUUCAUUGGAAUUAGCAUGAUCUUUAAGCUUUCAGCUGGCAAAAUUUGUUCACUGGGAGCUGAGAAAUCAAAUGUGCGACUAAUUAAAUUAAUUGCCGCUGCGCCUGCCCAUUAAUUCUGUAAUAAAUAUUGAAAUAAAUGUAAUCUGACACUUGA
This is a long non-coding RNA of Drosophila montana, 1569 nucleotides long. RefSeq lists it as uncharacterized. Lineage: Eukaryota; Metazoa; Arthropoda; Insecta; Diptera; Drosophilidae. The record is from RefSeq and is a predicted model, not a curated record. The transcript is spliced from 2 exons.